UGUCUAUAAAAAUACGGCACUUAGUCAUUUUCGACCCGAAACAAAGGUUACUAUAUUAUAAUACCUGAUUCUCUUUUUGACUGAAAUUACUUUAUUUACCAUGUGCAAGGUUGCUGUGUACUUUUUUUUGGGGGGGGAGGCAUCAGGGGGGUGUGCGCAAACUGUUUAGCGACGGGAUACCUCAAAGCAUUUAAUUUUGACCGUUUCAAUAUGUUAAGUAAGUUAUGACAUAAAGUUUGCCUUUGAAUUCCUUGAAAUAUAUUUGAAGUUUACAUAUACAUGUAACCGUAUUAAUUUAUUUAAAUAAACGUUGCUGCUACAGCUAAAUUAUAUCCGAAAUUUCAUUGCAUUUAUGCGGUUGAAGUUUGUGUGGUAAUAAUAAUCUGCAUAACAAGACAUGCAAUUUUUUUAUGAAUAUAUCUUAUUAUGGGAAGUGUAAUACUGCCCUAUUUGUUGAUGUCAACUGUAACAGCAGUGACGUACAGAGACCAUAGCGACCCAAAGGGGGAUCGAGGGAGGUGGGGGUGUUCCUCUACAGCCUCUUCGCCUUACCAACCAACUCUAUUUUACCAACUUAUUUGCCAACAGGUCACAGUUUUCCCUACAUAAUCUCCAUUUUACCGACAAGCUUUCGAAGAAGUUGGUGGUGGGGGGGGGGGAGGGUCACACUCCAACAUACCCCGCUCGGCAACCCUUGUGUAACAGAGUAGUGCUUAUUUCGUUGUAACAGUAAAUUGUUAUAAUUAUCAUAGAAGGAAGAG
Molecule: non-coding RNA, 761 nt
Organism: Paramuricea clavata
Lineage: Eukaryota; Metazoa; Cnidaria; Anthozoa; Malacalcyonacea; Plexauridae
Source: the annotation of a GenBank genome assembly